This 1259-nucleotide long non-coding RNA is filed under the name Cricetulus griseus (Chinese hamster). Its description in RNAcentral is "lncRNA (ENSCGRG00015034776.1)". The record is from RNAcentral. Lineage: Eukaryota; Metazoa; Chordata; Mammalia; Rodentia; Cricetidae.
GUCUAUGCUAUCUCUGACCGCGCCGCCGUCAGGCAACUGGGAGAAGUAUAAAUAGAGCUGGAAACGAGCUUAGAUACUGGCAGGACAGUCAAGGGUUUUGUUUUGUGCUUUCUAGUUGUUCACCACCAGACUUUGACUAAACAACACUGGAGCUUCCAAGAAUCUUUUUUUUUUUUUUUGCAAGAUUUCUUCUGACAGAAUUAUUGGGACUAUAGGAGACCAUAUGAACAAAACAACAAAACACUCUGAAAGAUGCUUCAAAAUCUAGAACUGUAACACAAUUCCUGGACAUUCCUGCUGGAAGGACAGAAGACUGGGGUGAUGAAAGUGGCCCAAGCAUUUUGAAGAUGACUCAUAGAGGCGACCUCAGAGCCGGAAACUGUGACUCAGCAUGGCAAAGGCAGUCAUACCAGUGACUCAUUGUGAUACCACACUGUGUUGAAAAAUCUCGUUCCUUAGCAUUUGGGGUGGGGUGAACGUUGUACAAACCAAGAAGGCACAGGAACCCAGGGAGUAAACCAUGUCUCACCAGUUUUCUCAUAUCCUAUUUCCAAGCUGUACAAGGGGGAAAAAUUAUCCAUGUAUUAGCUACUUUUCUAUUGCUGAGAUAAAACAUCAUUGUAUGUGUGAGAGCCAAAGUUAUGUUUUAUGUUUUAAUUACUGUGCUUAAGAUAUCCAUAAAACAAAAAUGCCUGUAGCCUGCAAGCCCUUUGCCCAAGGACAGAAAUCUCCUGAGAUACUGGAGGCUGUUGUUCAUAUAAGGUAACAAGCCUAAACAAGUUUGGUUUGAAGGGACCAGCUUCCCUUUUGGCAGCCAUAACGGCUUGUCUUAGUCAUUAGAAAGUCAGAUGCCUGCCUCAUGACAAGGAACCAAUCAGAAGUUAGUCAGUCACUAGAAAGUCAGAUGCCUGCCUCGUGACAAGGAACCAAUCAGAAGUUAGCUGGUGGCGCUAUGCUUUACAACCCUGUGUGUACAUUACGGACAAGCACACAGCAAUGACGCACAGAGCAUAGCAACCACCCUGGGAGGGCCUAUAGGCCAUAACAACCAGUUGACCAAUCAACUCAGGGCAAGCCCUCCAAGGCUGGAGGCACACCAAUUGUGAGCCUGUGCGUACCCCUAGACACUCCCCUUACGCUGCCCUAUAAGAUCUCGGUCCUGUGGCUUCUCAGAGUCUUUGCUAGCCAUCUGCCAUGGCAGGUGGGUGAAAGACCCGAGCUAACAUGGGGUUAGCUCGUUAAAUUACAAUAAAGCCUCA